AAGAACACGCUACGGUCUCGGCUGCGACCGCGGUGGAAUACAAAUUCUGACAACGGACAGAACUGGAAACCGGGGUUGGUGGUGGAGAUACUUGCAAGAAAAAUCAUACCCGGGAGAAAUGCAUUCCAUUGAUAGCUUGUAUUUUUGCUUGAAAGAAAAAAAAAAUUUUGAGAAAAAGAGCCACCAUCAGGAAUAAUUCUGCUACAAGGCUGAUUUCAAGGACGUGAAUUGUUGACCUCACCCCAACAUUGGAACCUCAGAUGUUAUUCUAAUUUUUGCACCAUCCCAGGCAAGUUGACCCUGCAAGGAAAUAACAUUGAACCAUAGGGGUCUGAUGGAAAUUCACUGUGACGUUCAAAUCCAAGAAAACUUGCUGAUGCCCACAGAGCCUUUCCCCCAUGGGCCCUGAUGGUAGCCUCCAGAAGGUGCAGCCUCAGGUGCUCUCCCUUCUUCUGUGGCAAGAAUAAACUCCGGGUCUUGGCUUGCAACACCACCUGUGGAGAAAAUGGUAUGCGAGGGAAAACGAUCAGCCUCUUGCCCCUGUUUCUUCCUCUUGACUGCCAAGUUCUACUGGAUCCUCACGAUGAUGCAAAGAACUCACAGCCAAGAGUACGCCCACUCCAUCAGGAUGGAUGGGGACAUUAUUUUGGGGGGUCUGUUCCCAGUCCAUGCGAAGGGAGAGAGAGGGGUGCCUUGUGGGGAGCUGAAGAAGGAGAAGGGGAUCCAUAGACUGGAGGCCAUGCUUUAUGCAAUCGACCAGAUUAACAAGGACCCUGAUCUCCUUUCCAACAUCACUCUGGGUGUCCGGAUCCUCGACACGUGCUCCAGGGACACGUAUGCUUUGGAGCAGUCGCUCACGUUCGUGCAGGCAUUAAUAGAGAAGGAUGCUUCCGACGUGAAGUGUGCUAAUGGGGAUCCGCCCAUUUUCACCAAGCCUGACAAGAUUUCUGGUGUCAUAGGUGCUGCUGCAAGCUCCGUGUCCAUCAUGGUUGCUAACAUUUUAAGACUUUUUAAGGUAGGUAAAGCGUUUCUGACCAUUGUGGAAGGACAAUGA
Molecule: RNA transcript, 1054 nt
Organism: Carlito syrichta (Philippine tarsier)
Lineage: Eukaryota; Metazoa; Chordata; Mammalia; Primates; Tarsiidae
Gene name: metabotropic glutamate receptor 8 pseudogene
Exons: 2
Source: RefSeq, a predicted model, not a curated record